This 519-nucleotide ribosomal RNA is filed under the name uncultured eukaryote. RNAcentral describes it as "SSU rRNA". It matches the Rfam family "Eukaryotic small subunit ribosomal RNA", at positions 1161 to 1699 of the family's 1831-position model. The record is from RNAcentral.
AGGGCACCACCAGGAGUGGAGCCUGCGGCUUAAUUUGACUCAACACGGGAAAACUCACCCGGCCCGGACACUGGAAGGAUUGACAGAUUGAGAGCUCUUUCUUGAUUCAGUGGGUGGUGGUGCAUGGCCGUUCUUAGUUGGUGGAGUGAUUCGUCUGGUUAAUUCCGAUAACGAACGAGACUCUAGCCUACUAAAUAGAUCGUCGGCUUACAAACGCCGGCGAGACUUCUUAGAGGGACAGGCGGUGAUUCAACCGCACGAAACAGAGCAAUAACAGGUCUGUGAUGCCCUUAGAUGUCCGGGGCCGCACGCGCGCUACACUGAAGUGAUCAGCGUGCUUUUUCAACCUACUCUGUCAAGAGUGGGGAACCCAAUGAACCUUCUUCGUGAUUGGGAUAGGGGAUUGUAAUUAUUCCCCUUGAACGAGGAAUUCCCAGUAAGCGCGAGUCAUAAGCUCGCGUUGAUUACGUCCCUGCCCUUUGUACACACCGCCCGUCGCUACUACCGACUGAAUGUUUU